UCUACUUAUAUCAUAAACCCUCACUGUGCACUGAAAUCCAUCUAGAAAAGGCAACAGUCAAUGACGAUUGGCAUUCUAGUUCCACAAAAUGGAAGAGCCAAGCUUUUAAGGAAAGCACAUGUAAAGGAUCCAAAAUGUACUCCCUUGAUGAAAUGUUACCUUAGCACUCCUGCUGAAAAACAUACAGUUCAUUUACAGACUGACAGCUGGUUGAUUCUGCUCUUAUUCAACAUAUACCGUUCCUGGAUCAUUAAGAUCAUGCUUACUAGCAGUGAUUAAUUAUGAUUAAUUUGUAUUACUAUAGUGCCACUAUUCCUUAGAAAUGAUU
Molecule: non-coding RNA, 328 nt
Organism: Python bivittatus (Burmese python)
Lineage: Eukaryota; Metazoa; Chordata; Lepidosauria; Squamata; Pythonidae
Source: RefSeq, a predicted model, not a curated record